UGAAUUGCAGAAUCCCGUGAACCAUCGAGUCUUUGAACGCAAGUUGCGCCUGAAGCCAUUAGGCUAAGGGCACGUCUGCCUGGGCGUCACGCAUCGCGUCACCCCUCCCCCAAUUCUGGUGGAAGGGGUG
Molecule: ribosomal RNA, 130 nt
Filed under: Microula tibetica
Lineage: Eukaryota; Viridiplantae; Streptophyta; Magnoliopsida; Boraginales; Boraginaceae
Description: 5.8S ribosomal RNA
Rfam family: 5.8S ribosomal RNA (bases 1-89)
About the family: 5.8S ribosomal RNA (5.8S rRNA) is a component of the large subunit of the eukaryotic ribosome. It is transcribed by RNA polymerase I as part of the 45S precursor that also contains 18S and 28S rRNA. Functionally, it is thought that 5.8S rRNA may be involved in ribosome translocation.
Source: RNAcentral